Molecule: long non-coding RNA, 450 nt
Organism: Myotis brandtii (Brandt's bat)
Lineage: Eukaryota; Metazoa; Chordata; Mammalia; Chiroptera; Vespertilionidae
Exons: 3
Source: RefSeq, a predicted model, not a curated record
GCAGGGGUUCCUUUAGAAAAGGCAGUGAUAUUGAACAUGCCCAAGGUCGAAGACUCCUGGAGCUGUGGACUUGCCUUCCUGGCAGUGCUGCAGGUGAAGGCGACGGUGGAGAUGCAGAAAUGAACAACUGGGAGCUUUGGAUGGACUGGCUGCAAUAGUGAGCAAAGAACAGCAGUGAAGAUAUUUUACCCAAUAUCUCUCUCUAGUGCACUGAGUACCUUGCAGACUUGACCAGGAAUGCUUUGAGCAGAGGGAACUCCGGAUAUGGAGAUGGAAAUACCUGUUGUGAAUACUAGUUAUGACACUUACUAGUCCAUGACCUUGGGCAAGCUACCUAACAGCAGUUGGUAUUAGUUAUCCUACCUGUAAUGAGGCAAGAGGUCUGCCUUCCUUGUUUAUGUAGUUGUUGUGAGAAUUAAAUGAAAUAAUGUUUCAGUGCCUAUGGCACAU